GACGUAGGGCGCGAGCGUUGUCCGGAUUUAUUGGGCGUAAAGAGCUCGUAGGCGGCUUGUUGCGUCGACUGUGAAAACCCGAGGCUCAACCUCGGGCCUGCAGUCGAUACGGGCAGACUAGAGUAUGGCAGGGGAGACUGGAAUUCCUGGUGUAGCGGUGAAAUGCGCAGAUAUCAGGAGGAACACCGGUGGCGAAGGCGGGAUCCUGGGCCAGUACUGACGCUGAGGAGCGAAAGCGUGGGGAGCAAACAGG
This 253-nucleotide ribosomal RNA is filed under the name uncultured bacterium. RNAcentral's name for it is "partial 16S ribosomal RNA". It matches the Rfam family "Bacterial small subunit ribosomal RNA", at positions 524 to 776 of the family's 1533-position model. The record is from RNAcentral.